This 453-nucleotide ribosomal RNA is filed under the name uncultured Thiobacillus sp. Its description in RNAcentral is "bacterial SSU rRNA". It matches the Rfam family "Bacterial small subunit ribosomal RNA", at positions 925 to 1382 of the family's 1533-position model. Lineage: Bacteria; Pseudomonadati; Pseudomonadota; Betaproteobacteria; Nitrosomonadales; Thiobacillaceae. The record is from RNAcentral.
ACAAGCGGUGGAUGAUGUGGAUUAAUUCGAUGCAACGCGAAGAACCUUACCUACCCUUGACAUGUCCGGAACUUGCCAGAGAUGGCUUGGUGCCCGAAAGGGAAUCGGAACACAGGUGCUGCAUGGCUGUCGUCAGCCCGUGUCGUGAGAUGUUGGGUUAAGUCCCGCAACGAGCGCAACCCUUAUCAUUAGUUGCUACGCAAGGGCACUCUAAUGAGACUGCCGGUGACAAACCGGAGGAAGGUGGGGAUGACGUCAAGUCCUCAUGGCCCUUAUGGGUAGGGCUUCACACGUCAUACAAUGGUCGGUACAGAGGGUUGCCAAGCCGCGAGGCGGAGCCAAUCCCACAAAGCCGAUCGUAGUCCGGAUUGUUCUCUGCAACUCGAGAGCAUGAAGUCGGAAUCGCUAGUAAUCGCAGGCCAGCAUACUGCGGUGAAUACGUUCCCGGGCCUU